GACGAGGGGUCCAAGCGUUGUUCGGAAUUAUUGGGCGUAAAGCGGGUGUAGGUGGAUCUAUAAGUCAGGAGUGAAAGCCCCGAGCUCAACUUGGGAAGUGCUUUUGAUACUGCAGAUCUUGAAUGUGGGAGAGGAUCGUGGAAUUCCAGGUGUAGUGGUGAAAUACGUAGAUAUGCGGAGGAACACCGAUGGCGAAGGCAAUCCCCUGGACCUGUACUGACGCUCAUGCACGAAAGCGUGGGGAGCAAACAGG
This 253-nucleotide ribosomal RNA is filed under the name uncultured bacterium. Its description in RNAcentral is "partial 16S ribosomal RNA". It matches the Rfam family "Bacterial small subunit ribosomal RNA", at positions 524 to 776 of the family's 1533-position model. The record is from RNAcentral.